Sinocyclocheilus grahami is the source of this 575-nucleotide long non-coding RNA. RefSeq lists it as uncharacterized. The transcript is spliced from 5 exons. The record is from RefSeq and is a predicted model, not a curated record. Lineage: Eukaryota; Metazoa; Chordata; Actinopteri; Cypriniformes; Cyprinidae.
GGAUUUGGAUCGAAUUCAGCAGCAAAAAACAGAAACAGGGACUUUCUUUACCAAUGGCCAGUUCAGACUCAUCUGGAGAGGAAGAUACAGUGCUUUACACAACCAUCAACUUCAUACAACCCCCCUCUCAACCACCAGGAAACAAUGACGAAUCAAUGCAAAAUGAGGUUGAACUGAAUCAUUUGUAUUACACCGUCCUCACCAAACCAGCCAUCUCCAGUGACAGCAGGAGUGUUUACAGUCAGCUGAAGGUCCACUGAAAGAAUACAACUCUGCCUGCUACUGUUUUAAUGCAGGCCAGAAUUGAUGAAUCUUAAUUUUAAACAGGCUUUAAUCCUCCAUAGCAAAUGCCUUUUAUUGUAAAUGCUAAACUUCUGCUUUCUAAUUUCAGUGUCUUAACGCCUUUCAAAACUGUGUCAUAAACUUCUGUCUGAUUUCGGUUUACUUGUAUUUUCUGUAGAUUCACAUGAACAGAAUAACCACAUCAGAAGGCACACAGCAUGAAUAUGCAUACUUUUAAGCAAUGAUAAUUACAUAACAAUUGUUAUACCGUGUUAUUGUGAAUGGCAGUUGUA